This is a small nucleolar RNA of Sorex fumeus (smoky shrew), 103 nucleotides long. RefSeq annotates it as small nucleolar RNA U13. The transcript has a single exon. NCBI's taxonomy places the organism in Eukaryota, Metazoa, Chordata, Mammalia, Eulipotyphla, Soricidae. The record is from RefSeq and is a predicted model, not a curated record.
AUCCUUUUCCAUUACAUAAACAUGAUGGUUGGGCAUUCACUAUUUGUGUGAUAUGUUCCUCCCUUAAAUCUUGUUGUUCACUUAGCACAUUACUCAUCUAACA